This 1455-nucleotide ribosomal RNA is filed under the name Triticum aestivum (bread wheat). Its description in RNAcentral is "partial small subunit ribosomal RNA". Lineage: Eukaryota; Viridiplantae; Streptophyta; Magnoliopsida; Poales; Poaceae. The record is from RNAcentral.
AUGGACACGGGGUUGGAGAUCUCCGGCGAGGUGCAGUACCGUGGCGACCCGGUCUUGGUGCCGCCCCGCCACCCAACGCCGCGCCACGCGCUUUACCUCUCUAACCUGGACGACCAGCGCUUCCUCCGCUUCUCCAUCAAGUACCUCUACGUCUUCUCCGCCGGCGCCGCCGUCCCCGCCGACGCGCUCCGGUCCGCGCUGGCCGAGGCCCUCGUUGACUACUACCCGCUGGCGGGGAGGCUCCGGCCCGGCGACGGCGAGGAGGAGGGGAAGCUCGCCGUGGACUGCAAUGCCGAAGGGGCGCUGUUCGCCGAGGGCUCCCUGCCCGGGCUCGCCGCAGCCGACUUCCUCCGCGGCGGCGGGGCCACGCCGCACAAGUCGUGGCGGAAGCUGCUGUACAGGGUCGACGCGCACGGCUUCGUCGCCGUGCCGCCUCUCGUCGUCCAGGUGACCCACCUCGGCUGCGGCGGCAUGGUGCUGUGCACGGCCAUCAACCACUGCCUCUGCGACGGCAUCGGCACGGCGCAGUUCCUGCACGCCUGGGCGCGCGCCGCCAGGUCCGACAUCGCCGGUAGCGGUGACCACCCCGUCGUCCACGACCGCCGCGCCCUGCGCCCGCGCUGCCCGCCGCGCGUCGAGUUCACGCACCCGGAGUAUUGCCAGGACGCCGUCGCCAACGACAAGCCCACCCUCCUGGAGCACCUGCUGGGCCAGCCGCUCUCGCCAGUGUCCCUCACCUUCACGGGGGCGCACCUGGGGCACCUCAAGAAGCAGUUGCUGCUGUCGGCGCCGGUGCUCAAGUGCUGCACCUCCUUCGAGGCGCUGGCGGCCACGGUGUGGCGCGCGUGGGUGCGCGCGCUGGACCCGCCGGCGGCGCUCCGCGUGAAGCUCCUCUUCUCGGUGAACGCCCGGCGUCACCUAAAGCCGGAGCUCCCCCAUGGAUACUACGGCAAUGGUUUCGUGCUCGGGUGCGCCGAGUCUACGGCCGGGCAGGUGGCGGCGGUGGCUGCGCCGGCGACGGUGAUCCGGCUCGUGCAGGAGGCCAAGGAGCGCGUGGACGACGACUACGUGCGGUCCAUGGUGGACCUCCUGGAGGAGCGUCGUGUCGGCGCCGGCGGUGGAGCCAAGCCUGACCUGUCGGCGAGCCUGGUGAUCUCGGCAUGGACGAGGCUGGGGCUGGAGGACCUCGACUUCGGCGCGGGCACGCCGGCGCACAUGGGCCCGCUCACCAGCGAGAUAUACUGCGUGUUCGUCCCGGUGGCAGGCGACCCCGGCGGCGUCACCGUGCUCGUCUCCGUCCCGCAGGCGGCCACCGACAAGUUCGAGCACUACUGCUGCAACCCUGUUGAACCCAGUGGAAUGGAAGAAACGGACGGCGGUGCCAUUGCCGGUAUGCUGGAGCGCGACGAGCAGCAGCAACCCUGUCAUGGACAUGAGAUCAAGAUCGAUUACUAA